RNAcentral lists this ribosomal RNA (505 nucleotides) under uncultured bacterium. RNAcentral describes it as "partial 16S ribosomal RNA". It matches the Rfam family "Bacterial small subunit ribosomal RNA", at positions 355 to 848 of the family's 1533-position model. The record is from RNAcentral.
UGGGGAAUUUUGGGACAAUGGGGGGAAACCCUGAUCCAGCCAUCCCGCGUGUGCGAUGAAGGCCUUCGGGUUGUAAAGCACUUUUGGCAGGAAAGAAACGUCGCGGGUUAAUACCCCGCGAAACUGACGGUACCUGCAGAAUAAGCACCGGCUAACUACGUGCCAGCAGCCGCGGUAAUACGUAGGGUGCAAGCGUUAAUCGGAAUUACUGGGCGUAAAGCGUGCGCAGGCGGUUCGGAAAGAAAGAUGUGAAAUCCCAGAGCUUAACUUUGGAACUGCAUUUUUAACUACCGGGCUAGAGUGUGUCAGAGGGAGGUGGAAUUCCGCGUGUAGCAUGAAAUGCGUAGAUAUGCGGAGGAACACCGAUGGCGAAGGCAGCCUCCUGGGAUAACACUGACGCUCAUGCACGAAAAGCGUGGGGGAGCAAACAGGAUUAGAUACCCUGGUAGUCCACGCCCUAAAACGAUGUCAACUAGCUGUUGGGGGCCUUCGGGCCUUGGCAGCG